RNAcentral lists this ribosomal RNA (253 nucleotides) under uncultured bacterium. RNAcentral's name for it is "partial 16S ribosomal RNA". It matches the Rfam family "Bacterial small subunit ribosomal RNA", at positions 524 to 776 of the family's 1533-position model. The record is from RNAcentral.
UACAGAGGUCUCAAGCGUUGUUCGGAAUCACUGGGCGUAGAGGGUGCGUAGGCUGCACGGUAAGUCAGAGGUGAAAUCCCGGAGCUCAACUUCGGAAUUGCCUCCGAUACUGCCGUGCUUGAGGACUGGAGAGGAGUCUGGAAUUCACAGUGGAGCAGUGAAAUGCGUAGAUAUUGUGAGGAACACUAGUGGCGAAGGCGAGACUCUGGACAGUUCCUGACGCUGAGGCACGAAGGCCAGGGGAGCAAACGGG